This is a long non-coding RNA of Anolis sagrei ordinatus, 440 nucleotides long. RefSeq lists it as uncharacterized. The record is from RefSeq and is a predicted model, not a curated record. Lineage: Eukaryota; Metazoa; Chordata; Lepidosauria; Squamata; Anolidae.
AUCACAGCCUUUUAAAAAAGAAGAAAAACCUGGGAUAUGGAAGUGUUUAAACAUCAUUUUUGCAAUUGGAUGUCAUUUGAAAAUGAAGCAACAGCAGCAGCUAUUCUCAGCAGAACUGUUUUAACCCUCCCUCUGGGGGCUGAUGUAAAAUGAAAUAUGUGCUCUGCGUUUUUCAGCAUAGAUUUUAUGUAAUCAUAAAUUUUUCCACAUGAAUUGAAAGGCUGCAAAUUAGCUGGGAGAGCAGAUUCCUGGAUGUGUGAUCAGUAAAAAUACCAUAAACUCUGUAUUGACAUCUGUAUUGACCAGUGAAGAAAAUGGAGCUGUGAACUGGCUGAUCACUGGGACGUCCUUGGGGUUUAUCAACAUUUGGAGUUGAGGAAUACUUUUUCAGAAAGAAAAAGGGCAGAUGCAAACCUCUCAAGACUCACCUUCCCCACUGA